Peromyscus maniculatus bairdii (prairie deer mouse) is the source of this 195-nucleotide small nuclear RNA. Its record names the gene U2. It matches the Rfam family "U2 spliceosomal RNA". From Rfam's summary of the family: U2 is a small nuclear RNA (snRNA) component of the spliceosome (involved in pre-mRNA splicing). Complementary binding between U2 snRNA (in an area lying towards the 5' end but 3' to hairpin I) and the branchpoint sequence (BPS) of the intron results the bulging out of an unpaired adenosine, on the BPS, which initiates a nucleophilic attack at the intronic 5' splice site, thus starting the first of two transesterification reactions that mediate splicing. The record is from Ensembl. Lineage: Eukaryota; Metazoa; Chordata; Mammalia; Rodentia; Cricetidae.
AUUGCUUCUCGGCCUUUUGGCUAAGAUCAAGUGUAGCAUCUAUUCUUAUCAGUUUAAUGUCUAAUAGAUACAUCCUCCAUGCAAGGACAAUACAUUAAGUGGAUUUUUGAAGCUAGGAUUUGGAAUGAGAGCUUGUUUCAUCCAUUCCAUAGAUUGACCUGGUAUUGCAGUAGCUCUAAGAAUGGUGGGGGAAAA